This 621-nucleotide ribosomal RNA is filed under the name Staphylococcus aureus. Its description in RNAcentral is "bacterial SSU rRNA". It matches the Rfam family "Bacterial small subunit ribosomal RNA", at positions 196 to 805 of the family's 1533-position model. The record is from RNAcentral. Lineage: Bacteria; Bacillati; Bacillota; Bacilli; Caryophanales; Staphylococcaceae.
AAAAGUGAAAGACGGUCUUGCUGUCACUUAUAGAUGGAUCCGCGCUGCAUUAGCUAGUUGGUAAGGUAACGGCUUACCAAGGCAACGAUGCAUAGCCGACCUGAGAGGGUGAUCGGCCACACUGGAACUGAGACACGGUCCAGACUCCUACGGGAGGCAGCAGUAGGGAAUCUUCCGCAAUGGGCGAAAGCCUGACGGAGCAACGCCGCGUGAGUGAUGAAGGUCUUCGGAUCGUAAAACUCUGUUAUUAGGGAAGAACAUAUGUGUAAGUAACUGUGCACAUCUUGACGGUACCUAAUCAGAAAGCCACGGCUAACUACGUGCCAGCAGCCGCGGUAAUACGUAGGUGGCAAGCGUUAUCCGGAAUUAUUGGGCGUAAAGCGCGCGUAGGCGGUUUUUUAAGUCUGAUGUGAAAGCCCACGGCUCAACCGUGGAGGGUCAUUGGAAACUGGAAAACUUGAGUGCAGAAGAGGAAAGUGGAAUUCCAUGUGUAGCGGUGAAAUGCGCAGAGAUAUGGAGGAACACCAGUGGCGAAGGCGACUUUCUGGUCUGUAACUGACGCUGAUGUGCGAAAGCGUGGGGAUCAAACAGGAUUAGAUACCCUGGUAGUCCACGCCGUAA